RNAcentral lists this non-coding RNA (81 nucleotides) under Paenibacillus sp. RNAcentral's name for it is "c-di-GMP sequence". It matches the Rfam family "c-di-GMP-I-GGC riboswitch aptamer". Lineage: Bacteria; Bacillati; Bacillota; Bacilli; Caryophanales; Paenibacillaceae. RNAcentral also lists the same sequence under 1 other name. The record is from RNAcentral.
CACGAUAAUAGCAAACCUAUCGAAAGGUAGGGACGCAAAGCUAUAGGGCCUUCUCUAGGGAUGGUAGCCUGGCCGCCGAAA